GAUGAACGCUGGCGGCGUGCCUAAUACAUGCAAGUCGAGCGAACGGACGAGAAGCUUGCUUCUCUGAUGUUAGCGGCGGACGGGUGAGUAACACGUGGAUAACCUACCUAUAAGACUGGGAUAACUUCGGGAAACCGGAGCUAAUACCGGAUAAUAUUUUGAACCGCAUGGUUCAAAAGUGAAAGACGGUCUUGCUGUCACUUAUAGAUGGAUCCGCGCUGCAUUAGCUAGUUGGUAAGGUAACGGCUUACCAAGGCAACGAUGCAUAGCCGACCUGAGAGGGUGAUCGGCCACACUGGAACUGAGACACGGUCCAGACUCCUACGGGAGGCAGCAGUAGGGAAUCUUCCGCAAUGGGCGAAAGCCUGACGGAGCAACGCCGCGUGAGUGAUGAAGGUCUUCGGAUCGUAAAACUCUGUUAUUAGGGAAGAACAUAUGUGUAAGUAACUGUGCACAUCUUGACGGUACCUAAUCAGAAAGCCACGGCUAACUACGUGCCAGCAGCCGCGGUAAUACGUAGGUGGCAAGCGUUAUCCGGAAUUAUUGGGCGUAAAGCGCGCGUAGGCGGUUUUUUAAGUCUGAUGUGAAAGCCCACGGCUCAACCGUGGAGGGUCAUUGGAAACUGGAAAACUUGAGUGCAGAAGAGGAAAGUGGAAUUCCAUGUGUAGCGGUGAAAUGCGCAGAGAUAUGGAGGAACACCAGUGGCGAAGGCGACUUUCUGGUCUGUAACUGACGCUGAUGUGCGAAAGCGUGGGGAUCAAACAGGAUUAGAUACCCUGGUAGUCCACGCCGUAAACGAUGAGUGCUAAGUGUUAGGGGGUUUCCGCCCCUUAGUGCUGCAGCUAACGCAUUAAGCACUCCGCCUGGGGAGUACGACCGCAAGGUUGAAACUCAAAGGAAUUGACGGGGACCCGCACAAGCGGUGGAGCAUGUGGUUUAAUUCGAAGCAACGCGAAGAACCUUACCAAAUCUUGACAUCCUUUGACAACUCUAGAGAUAGAGCUUUCCCCUUCGGGGGACAAAGUGACAGGUGGUGCAUGGUUGUCGUCAGCUCGUGUCGUGAGAUGUUGGGUUAAGUCCCGCAACGAGCGCAACCCUUAAGCUUAGUUGCCAUCAUUAAGUUGGGCACUCUAAGUUGACUGCCGGUGACAAACCGGAGGAAGGUGGGGAUGACGUCAAGUCAUCAUGCCCCUUAUGAUUUGGGCUACACACGUGCUACAAUGGACAAUACAAAGGGCAGCGAAACCGCGAGGUCAAGCAAAUCCCAUAAAGUUGUUCUCAGUUCGGAUUGUAGUCUGCAACUCGACUACAUGAAGCUGGAAUCGCUAGUAAUCGUAGAUCAGCAUGCUACGGUGAAUACGUUCCCGGGUCU
This 1372-nucleotide ribosomal RNA is filed under the name uncultured bacterium. RNAcentral's name for it is "bacterial SSU rRNA". It matches the Rfam family "Bacterial small subunit ribosomal RNA", at positions 28 to 1381 of the family's 1533-position model. The record is from RNAcentral.